CCUACGGGGAGCAGCAGUGAGGAAUAUUGGUCAAUGGACGCAAGUCUGAACCAGCCAUGCCGCGUGCAGGAUGACGGCUCUAUGAGUUGUAAACUGCUUUUGUACGAGGGUAAACCCCGAUACGUGUAUCGGGUUGAAAGUAUCGUACGAAUAAGGAUCGGCUAACUCCGUGCCAGCAGCCGCGGUAAUACGGAGGAUCCGAGCGUUAUCCGGAUUUAUUGGGGUGAAAGGGUGCGUAGGCGGUUUGAUAAGUUAGAGGUGAAAUGGCUGGGCUCAAACCCGAAACUGCCUCUAAUACUGUCGGACUAGAGAAUAGUUGCGGUAGGCGGAAUGUAUGGUGUAGCGGUGAAAUGCGUAGAGAUAAUACAGAACACCGAUUGCGAAGGCAGCUUACCAAACUAUAUCUGACGUUGAGGCACGAAAGCGUGGGUAGCGAACAGGAUUAGAUACCCCAGUAGUC
This 460-nucleotide ribosomal RNA is filed under the name uncultured bacterium. RNAcentral's name for it is "partial 16S ribosomal RNA". It matches the Rfam family "Bacterial small subunit ribosomal RNA", at positions 338 to 795 of the family's 1533-position model. The record is from RNAcentral.